GGACUACCGGGGUAUCUAAUCCUGUUUGCUCCCCACGCUUUCGCGCCUCAGCGUCAGUAUCUGUCCAGGCAGCCGCCUUCGCCACUGGUGUUCCUUCCGAUCUCUACGCAUUUCACCGCUACACCGGAAAUUCCACUGCCCUCUACAGUACUCCAGCGCGCCAGUCACCAGUGCAGUUCCUAGGUUGAGCCCAGGGAUUUCACACCAGUCUUAACGCGCCGCCUACGCGCCCUUUACGCCCAGUAACUCCGAUUAACGCUCGCACCCUCUGUAUUACCGCGGCUGCUGGCAC
Molecule: ribosomal RNA, 292 nt
Filed under: uncultured bacterium
Lineage: Bacteria
Description: partial 16S ribosomal RNA
Source: RNAcentral